Molecule: non-coding RNA, 358 nt
Organism: Pelobates cultripes (western spadefoot toad)
Lineage: Eukaryota; Metazoa; Chordata; Amphibia; Anura; Pelobatidae
Source: the annotation of a GenBank genome assembly
GCCAUAUUCAUCUCCUCAUCAGAGACUUGAAAAAAAAAAACUGAACUUAUGCACAUUACUCAAGAAUAUUUUUCAGGAGAACUACGUGUAUUCCAUUACAACACAGCAGAUAUUAUUUCUAGAACUGUAAUGACUGAGGGAUUUCGUCAGCCAAGGAUCAACUCUCACAGUUGUCGUAACUUAGCUUUGUUAAACAAUUCCUCAGUCAUUCCUGAAAAUAGGUUUGGGAUAGAAUACAGAAAUUUUUUAUACCCUUCAAGAAAAAUCUGAAUUUUUAUUCUAUAAAGAUACCGAGUUUUGACCUCUAAAUAACAUCUACAAUGCCAAGUGCAACGCUUAGAUAUAACAUACAAUUAAC